GGGGCUGGUGGCCACACCCCGUUGUGGGGUGCGGGGUUGUGGGCGGGAACUGGGGAAGGGGGGCUGAGAGCAAGCCCCCUCCCCAGGAAGCCUCCCGCGCAGCUGCACCCGCCCGCUCCGGGAAGGUGGGGGACUAGCUGGGGCCGAGGACCCGCCGCUGCGCCCCUGGCUCCCGCGGGGGUGGCAGGGUCUGCAUCCCGGGCCCCCAGGGUCCGGGCGGGAGGCCGCGGGGUGCCGGGAGCUCAGUGCGGGGCGCCUGAAGCCGCCAACCCGGAGGAGGGAAGGGGAGAGAGGCGGCGCGGGAGCCCGAGAGCCCGGGAGCCGAGGGGCCCAGCGGCCGCCGCGACGCUGCCGAGGGGCGCCCGGACCCGCCGCCCGCGCCUCCCCGCCCCGCCCGGGGCCUCCGGGGCCUGCGCUCCCCACCCCCGGGCCCCGGGCCCCACAGCCCCCCGCUCCCGCGAGCCCCUGCCCUCCUGCUGGCCCGGGCUGCUCCGAGCCCCUCCGACCGGCUCAGAAUCUGCCCAGGACCCUCCGCCAGUCCCCGCCCAGCUGAGGGCCAGCCCCUGCCCAGGCCCGGGUCAUCUGGGAAUCAGAGAGAGACGGGCGCACGGUCACUUCAAAACCAGGACACAGGUGAAGCCAGGAAGGCAGGAGACCCCCGUGACCAACUCCUCUCUUCACUGUUUGUUUCCCCAACAUUCCUUGGGCACCUGGGGACAGUCGGGCACUCGGCUGCAAGGUGGAUAUAAUGCGCGCCCUCCAGGAAGAAGGUUGGAGGAUGCAGACCUGGACACCCGACUUGACUCAACCUGCUGAUCUGGGGGGUCAGGGAAGGCUUUCAGAAGGAGGUGAGCUCCCAGCUGCACCCCGAAGGUUGAGCUGGAGUUAGCCGGGUGAAGGGAAAGUCAGCCACGUUUCAGGUGGAAUUGUGGGGGGCAUCAUGUUCACCUGACCACACCUGGUGAGUUCAGCUCCGCUUGAGCAAAAUCAAGGGGGGCACGGAAGAAGCCAGCCAGGAGGGCAGCAGUGGGGCACCCAGGAGGGAUGCAGCUGUGAGGGAGAGAUCGGGAGGGGUGGGCGGGAUAGCCAUGGGGUUGAACAGGAAGGGAUGGAUUGUAGAGAUCCUCAGAUGGAAGAAUCUGCAGGGACUGGUGAUGGAUUGGCUUGGAAAGGUGUGGAGGAAGGCCAGAGCGAGAAGGGAGAGCGAGGGUGAACCCCGGGUUUCUGGUUGGGAGUCUGGGCUUUGGGGGAGAAGGUGAAGUUUCAGGAGCCUGUUUCCAAGUGGGAGAGAAUACUUCCAGAAGGGAGGCUUGAGUUGGGCCAAAGCUGUGGUAGCUAAGGACUGAACUGCAGGGAGGCAGCUAGUGGCCCCGGAGGGAGCCGUGCGAUGGGACAGAAAACAGACUGGAGUAGAAUGAGUCUUCCCGAGGUAAAGUGUAGACAGGCAGGGAGUGUAGACCGUGCUUGGAAGGAGGGGAGAGGGUGUUAAGUGGAGGCAGAUGUGGGGUAGAAGGAGGGUCUGGUUGUGUUCUAGGAUGGCAGAGGCAUGAGUGCUUCCAGGAGGAGGUGCAGGCACAGUGAGGGGGCCCCCAAUGAGCACUGCCCAGGCAGGGGGCGGGUUCCCCGGAGCCUUCAAGGCCUGAGUGAUCCAGAGACGUGCCAGCUGGUGAUCUGCUUUUCACCUGUGAGGCUUAGCAGUUUGGGCAUAGACUUGGAGGAAGCAGCCCCACUGAGGUAGAGUGGCCUUUGCGGGGGGGCUUUGGCAGAAGGAUGAAGGAGAAAGUGAAGCUGCAGGACGAGGUAAAUUGCAAGGGAGUCACUGAGGUGAGGUGGCACAGCAGGAGGCUCCGAGGAACUGCUGAGAGCUCCGGGGCUGCCCCUGGCCGGCUAGAGGCCCUGCAGGGUCCCAGCUGAGAGCGCGGCCUAGCCGUGCAUCCCGGAUCUGCCAUGUAGUGUCACCGUGUCUGUGACCCUGGGCACGUCAUGUGACCUCUCGGACCUGUGUCCCCAUCUGGAAACAGAGAUGGCAAUAGCCUGUGCCUAUUGAGUCGUCACGAGGCUGACCUGAGAUGACACGUAACUCAGAUCGAGGGCUCAGAAGGGUGUUCCGCACAGAGGAGGUGCCGUAGCAAUG
This 2134-nucleotide long non-coding RNA is filed under the name Canis lupus familiaris (dog). RNAcentral's name for it is "lncRNA (ENSCAFG00845019319.1)". Lineage: Eukaryota; Metazoa; Chordata; Mammalia; Carnivora; Canidae. The record is from RNAcentral.